CUCUCGUUAUUUUUGUUUAAGUGUUCAGUUCAAUAAAAGUCAUGAACACUCACCACGCUGUGCUUUGGUCCGAUCCCUCCUCAUCCAACGACGACACCCGUUAAACCAAAUCCAAGCAGUGGUUGUGUGGUUCAAGAGAUCCUCGAUGUCCAAAGCAGCAGCUCCUUGGUCUUCUGCAACACUCACUCAUCAUUGAUGUCAAGGCCAGAUGGAACUCGCUCUAAUGAUAGAGAGAUUCAUGGAGCAGUAUCCAGCGACCCAAACCUUGGACCACGACUGUGAAAAGCAAUGACCAAGGACAACCUGGACCGUCUGAAGGACGAGGACUUCCAUAAGGCUGAGGAGUUUGUCCAGCUCAUGAAAAUCCUCUAUACAUCCACACUGUGUUUCAUGUGAAAAGAAUGCCACCUAUGGGCAGGUCAUACCCAUCCUCCAAAAACUGAGAGAGCACUUCACUGUGAAUCAUGAAGAUACAACGUUUGUGGCAACCAUCAAAGAGAAGGUGUGGGAGAACCCCCUCCGAGCACUAUCAGGAUGUGGACAUUCAAGCCUUCCUGCAUGAGGUCACAGCAAUGGACCCCAGGUUUAAAGGGAGGCCGGUGAGUGAAGCCACCUGGGUCAGGCUGAGGAAGGCAACUGUUGAGGCCGAUGUAAAAGGAGCAAUACCAGGGCUGUCAGAGGAGCCGGCGCAGACGGCCACACCCUCAGCAAGCGUGUUGACCUAGAGGUUGAGCUCUACGAAGGCCUGCCUCCCAUCGCCAUGGCUGAAGAUCCUGUAAUGUGGUGGUGGGAGAAGAGAGCUACUCUGCCUCUCACAAACAUUGCAACAAGCUACCUCUGCUCAAGCCUCCUCCACCCCUAGCGAGAGGGUAUUUUCGGAUGCAGGGAACACAAUAAGCCAGGAGAGGUCCCAACUUCUGCCAGAGAAGGCAAAUAUGUUGAUCUUUCUCCAGAAGAACUGCUAAGAACUGUUAGUCCUUUUGCAGCCUACCUGCAUGCCCCACCCGUGUUGCAAACCACUGUAUUUUCUUUUGCAGGAAAAUAAUGUUUAUUUAGUUUGCUUUACAUUUCCAUCAUCACAACAUUCAAGUCUAUAAUGGUGAUUUGUUCAAAACGUUGCUGUUUCCUUUGCUGUAAAUAAUUGUUUUAUUUUACAUUUCAGAAAAUAAAUGGUAAUUCUGU
Molecule: long non-coding RNA, 1182 nt
Organism: Oncorhynchus tshawytscha (Chinook salmon)
Lineage: Eukaryota; Metazoa; Chordata; Actinopteri; Salmoniformes; Salmonidae
Exons: 2
Source: RefSeq, a predicted model, not a curated record